AACGGUCUAUACCUGCGGUACCUGCGGAGGGAUCAUUAAAGAAAUAGUGGAUGUGCUGGCUUUAUUAUUAUUGCAUGUGCACUCCCAAAAUUAUUAAUUCAUUCACCUGUGCAUUGAUUGUAGGCAGAGAGAGAACUGAAAGGACUUGUUUGCCUUUCAUUCAUUCCCUUGUCUAUGCUCCUUUGUAAAUCCUACAUUUAAGUUGUUGACUGUAAAAUGGAAUUUAAAACAACUUUUAGC
Molecule: unclassified non-coding RNA, 240 nt
Filed under: soil metagenome
Description: partial contains 5.8S ribosomal RNA, internal transcribed spacer 2, and large subunit ribosomal RNA
Source: RNAcentral